RNAcentral lists this ribosomal RNA (273 nucleotides) under uncultured bacterium. RNAcentral's name for it is "partial 16S ribosomal RNA". It matches the Rfam family "Bacterial small subunit ribosomal RNA", at positions 524 to 796 of the family's 1533-position model. The record is from RNAcentral.
UACGGAGGGGGCUAGCGUUGUUCGGAAUUACUGGGCGUAAAGCGCGCGUAGGCGGAGAUCCAAGUCGGGGGUGAAAUCCCGGGGCUCAACCCCGGAACUGCCUCCGAUACUGGGUCUCUGGAGGACGGGAGAGGCGAGUGGAAUGCCGAGUGUAGAGGUGAAAUUCGUAGAUAUUCGGCGGAACACCCGUGGCGAAGGCGGCUCGCUGGUCCGUUUCUGACGCUGAGGCGCGAAAGCGUGGGGAGCAAACAGGAUUAGAAACCCCCGUAGUCC